GGGGCUAUAACUCAGUUGGUAGAGUGUCACAAUGGCAUUGUGAAAGUCAGCGGUUCGAAUCCGCUUAGCUCCA
This is a transfer RNA of Cyanothece sp., 73 nucleotides long. It matches the Rfam family "tRNA". Rfam says of the family: Transfer RNA (tRNA) molecules are approximately 80 nucleotides in length. The record is from Rfam. NCBI's taxonomy places the organism in Bacteria, Bacillati, Cyanobacteriota, Cyanophyceae, Gomontiellales, Cyanothecaceae.